UUGAGGAUAUAGCUCAGUGGUAGAGCACUUGCCUAGCAUGUAUGAAGUUCUGAGUUCCAUUCUCAUUCCCUAAC
RNAcentral lists this transfer RNA (74 nucleotides) under Marmota monax (woodchuck). RNAcentral describes it as "tRNA.Ala". It matches the Rfam family "tRNA". From Rfam's summary of the family: Transfer RNA (tRNA) molecules are approximately 80 nucleotides in length. The record is from RNAcentral. Lineage: Eukaryota; Metazoa; Chordata; Mammalia; Rodentia; Sciuridae.